UACGUAGGUGGCAAGCGUUGUCCGGAAUUAUUGGGCGUAAAGCGCGCGCAGGCGGUCCUUUAAGUCUGAUGUGAAAGCCCACGGCUCAACCGUGGAGGGUCAUUGGAAACUGGGGGACUUGAGUGCAGAAGAGGAGAGUGGAAUUCCACGUGUAGCGGUGAAAUGCGCAGAGAUGUGGAGGAACACCAGUGGCGAAGGCGACUCUCUGGUCUGUAACUGACGCUGAGGCGCGAAAGCGUGGGGAGCAAACAGG
RNAcentral lists this ribosomal RNA (253 nucleotides) under uncultured bacterium. RNAcentral's name for it is "partial 16S ribosomal RNA". It matches the Rfam family "Bacterial small subunit ribosomal RNA", at positions 524 to 776 of the family's 1533-position model. The record is from RNAcentral.